UGUAAAUUAUAUACAAUGAUUAUCUAUAAUUGGUUGAAUUGAAUUCUUCUGGAAAUCAGAUUAAACAAAGACAAACAGAAGUGGAUGAGAGACUUGGUGAGGUUGAAAGAACCUGAUAAAAUUGUCUGCAAAGGGUGUGUGAAUAGAAAGAAGAGGAACCAUUGGACAAGCUUACUGGAAGAUUUAGUUUGCUAUCCACCAACAGUUGAACCCAGGUGCCACAUCAUCCCCUAGAGACUAGUGGGUCUCAACAAUAACUCUCGGCAACAACCACGAAGGGACUCGAACCCUCAAUCUUCUGAUCCGAAGUCAGACGCCUUAUCCGUUAGGCCACGUGGUCUCACACCUGAAGGUCUUUCACUGCAGCUGACUGAAUAUCCAAAAUCAACCCACCAUUAUUCGCUCAGCAUGGAGAGUUCACAACAACUAAUCAGAGGUAAAUUAGUCUUUACCUCAUCCACCUGGGUACUGGUGGCUUUGUCUAACAGGUGUCCCCACUUAGCCUCACUUCCACUAAUAUGAGUCAUAAAAAUGAACUCCUCCGCUGUGUUUUUGUGCUGUUGUUGCCUUUUGGAGCCAAUUUAAUGACUAAAAUUACAGCUUGCUGUAUGUAAGUGACUGAAAGAAAACCGGACCAGGCCAAAAUGUGUCUGCCAUCUUGAAAUUGGUGCAAUAGACCUCAAGCUACAGAGUGUUGCAGAGACAUGAAGGAAAAAUCAUUUCCUCUGCGCUCCAGGCGACCUUCACAAAUCACCUGAGUGGCUUGAUUGCAGCCAUAACUCAGCGUAAUGCCAGCACUGUAACGCUCGCAGCAGCCCUGACCCUCACAAAACAUUUUCCUCCCGGCCUUAUCUGUGUUUAUGACACUUUGCCCGCCACUGUGUGAACAACAAAAUGAGCCAGAUGGGACUGACUGAGGAUCUGUCCAGAUUACCACGCCACCUCAACACAGCGGCAGCCAGAAAACAGGAUCGGCACAGACAGGAUGGCUUUCCAUGAAGAGCUGGACAAACCUCAGCGUGCAACAAGCUGUCUCAUUAUAGAUACACGUUUGAUACACAAUGUGUUUGUUUGAUACACAGUGUGUCUAUUCCAUCAGUUUUUGUAGUUUAUUUAAAUCAUCUCUGGGUGUUUUUGCUACUACAAAUCCAUCAGUGCAUGUCAUGUUAAAGCUUUAAUCCUCCGUUCAGCAAUUUAUCAACAAAAUGUUCACAAGAAAGACAUUUUCAUGAGGACGUAUGAUGAAUGACUGUCUUCUAGCACCACCUUAAGGCCACAACUUUUACCUGUUCUACCGUCACAAGUUUCUUCACUUCCAAUUUCAUAGCCAGAGAUCCAUAAAACAGCCACAAAAUAAAAACAGACAAAUGCACACCAAGAAGCUAACAACAGCCAGGGAAAAUUAUACGUGACUGAUGGUGCACAAUGACCUCCACAAGAAUCCAAAAACUUCACAAAAAAAGAUUAGUAACAAACCUCAAAUGUGUAUAAUGAUCCUUCAGCAACGCAAAAUGACUCCACAAAGGGCCAAACUAAUGAUAGCUUGCUACAAAAUGAUCCCUAAAUGAUGCAAAAUAACCACGAAAACAUAGCAAUCAUGCUUAACAUUUACAAAAAAGACACAUAAUGACCACAAAGAGAUGCAAAACAAUUACAGAGGAAUAAAAAAGCCAUGAAAAGACCCGAAAACACACAGUGGCACAAGCAAAUCCCCAAAGGGCAUAAAAUAACUCAAAAAGAUACAACAAAGGGAUAAAGAACAACAACAAACGCGACACUAAAGAACGAAAACAGACCGAAAAUGAUCCGGAAGAAUUACAAAAAGAAAGAUGACAACCACAAAGAGAAGAUUAUGCCAAAAUUAUCAAAAAAUUAUGCAA
Long non-coding RNA from Haplochromis burtoni (Burton's mouthbrooder), 1880 nucleotides. RefSeq lists it as uncharacterized. Lineage: Eukaryota; Metazoa; Chordata; Actinopteri; Cichliformes; Cichlidae. The transcript is spliced from 3 exons. The record is from RefSeq and is a predicted model, not a curated record.